Molecule: non-coding RNA, 270 nt
Filed under: Dorea sp.
Lineage: Bacteria; Bacillati; Bacillota; Clostridia; Lachnospirales; Lachnospiraceae
Description: T-box sequence
Rfam family: T-box leader
About the family: Uncharged tRNA acts as the effector for transcription antitermination of genes in the T-box leader family.
Source: RNAcentral
AGCAAACCGUUGAAAAAGAGGAGUAGCUUAUACGAUGACAUCCAAGAGAGCAGCAGGUGGUGAGAUUGCUGUAUGAAAUUGAUAAGUGAAUGGACUUUUGAGGGCAGUCUGAAAUCAAGAACUUGUAUUUAUCAAUUGUUUGAGAGAGUAUGGCUUGUCGGGAACCGAACCCGUUAUCAAUCAGGAGUGUAUGUUAGUACAUGAGAAAGUGGACGAUUCGUCAAUUUGAGUGGUACCGCGAUAAUAAUAGAUAUUAUUACCGUCUCAAAC